AUACCAAUUGCUCCAAAUAGAUGUAUUUAGACCUUUAUUAUAACUAUUAAUAAUGGCAUAUGGUUAUAUAAAAUGCUUGCAUAUGCCCUCGUCUCUUGACAAUAUGGAAAAUGUUACUUAGUAUACAAUCCAAGGUAAAAUAAAUAAUGAGAAGUUAAUAAGGGGUGAAAGUGAAACAAACACAUUUAUUCAUCCAGUGAUGAAAUUCAUAGAUUAAUUAGAUUUUAUGAAACGAAAUUCCUAACACACAUCUCCUCAAUUCACCAUUUUUAAAUAAAUGGUUCCAUAUAUAUUAUUGAAUUAACUAAGAAGAUCAGGCCUGGUUCUUUCAACAGCCAAACAAGUGCUAAGCAAUUUCUUACUACCCUGAUAGAAAGUUGCAAAUUCAGCUGGCAUUGGUGUUUUCUUGAAUUCACCUUUACAAUCAUCCAAUCUUGUCAUUGCUGCUGAUAUUUUGAUGUUUGCACUUUUAGUUUUGUCACCUGUUUUCAACAACUCUUCUACCUCUUUCAAUGUCUCGAGAGCAUCAUUAUAUGAUUCUUUGCACCCUUUCCCAAUCUUAUUUUUUAAUUUUUGAUCUGUUGUUGGUGGCAAUUUUGCUAGCAUAUUUGCCAUAAUUGGCUCUGCCAAUUUAAUUUGCAUAAUUGUCUCUGACAACACACCAGUAAUUGCCUCUUGCCAUGUGUUAGCUGCCUUGACAACUUCAUUGCAAAAGGGCUUGUCUAAGGCUUUCACACAAAAUGGGCUUUCUUUGUAUGCUGGGGCUUCUUGUGCACUUGAUUGACAUGCAAAUAAAACACAAGUUAAAGCCAGAGAGACCAAUGACAAAGUAACCCCAUUUCUAUAAGACAUUUUCUAUUUUUUAUAUUGAUUUUUUUUUUUGCAAUUGUGAUUAUGUUUUUUUUUUUUUGUCACUUUUCUAAGAUGGUCUUCUCUGGGUUAAAUUUGAAAUGAAGAGGUAAAAAGUAUAUAUAAGUUUGUUUGGAACGGUAAUUGGGUGGAUGUUUGGAAUAUAUGGCUUGCAUUAUUUUGCUCUUUUGUUGUUGAAUUUUCCACAGCAUAAUGAGCACAUUUAUGAAUUAACUAGGAGUAGUUGUUUAUUCUCCCUCCGUUUAAAAAAGAAUAACCUACUUUGACUUGAUACAAAGUUUAAGAAAAAAAAAAAAACUUUUGAAUCUUGUGGCCUUAAAUUAAAGUUGUAUCAAAUGUAUCAAAAUGUCCUUUAAUCUUAUGAUCCUAAAUAUUAGAUAAAAUAUUAACCUAAAUAAUAAUAAUAAUAAUAAUAAUAAUAAUAAUAAUAAUAAUAAUAAUAAUAAUAAUAAUAAUAAUAAUAAUAAUAAUAAUAAUAAUAAUAAUUAGUAGAAAUUUACCAAAAAAAAUAGUAGAAGAAGCAGCAAUACAUGAGAUAUAAUAACAAUAAUAAUAAUAAUAUAAUAUUUUUAAAAAUUAAUAUUUUUAAUAAAAAAUGAUAAAAGAGAACAAAAAGGGAAAAAUAUAUGAAAAAUAAUAAUUAGUAGAAGUUUACCAAGAAAAAAAUAGUAGAAGAAGCAGCAAUACGUGGGAUAUAAUACUACUACUACUACUACUACUACUACUACUACUACUACUACUACUACUACUAAUAAUAAUAAUAAUAUAAGUAAAAAAUUAAUAUUAUAUGAAAAAAAUUAAAAUAAAUUGAUAGUAAUAUUUUAAUAUUGAUAACAUUAAUUUGAAAUAUUCUAUUUUAUUACAUUUAUUUUUAUUAUAGAAAAGUUAAUAUUUUUAAUAAAAAAUGAUAAAAUAAAAUAAAUAGGGAAAAAUAUGAAAAAAAUUAAAAUAAAUUGAUAGUAAUAUUUUAAUAUUGAUAACAUUAAUUUGAAAUAUUCUAUUUUAUUACAUUUAUUUUUAUUAUAGAAAACACCUAAUUGGUAUCAUUAAUUUCAAAUAUAUAAUUUUUGCAAACUCAAAAUAUCGAAUACUGUAAGAUAAUUAUGUCAUUUUAGAGUCAUCUUUCUAGUAUUCUAAAAAUUUUAAAAUCUUGAAUUUGAAAUGCAUUAUCUUUUUUUUCUAAAAUAAAAAAAAAUCAUUAUCAUUAACUUGAAAUUAGGAACAUAAGCUUAUCCCUUUCAAAUCCCUUUCAAAUAUAAUUUAAAAUAUAUUCAAAUAUUAAAUAAAAAAUAAAAUACUAAUCUAAAUAAUUUAUAUAUAUAUAAAAGCAAAACUAAAAGCAGACAAGAUGCCACAUGACAGCACAAUAGAAAGCCACAUGACAGUUUUUAAGACAAGGUUAUAAAUAUUGUAAUAAAAUUUUGAAUUAAAAUAUAAGAUGUUUGUAUUUAAAAAUAUUGAUUUUAUUUAAAAAUUAUCAUUAGCUUGAAAUUAGGAACAUAAGCUUAUCCCUUUCAAAUAUAAUUUAAAAUAUAUUCAAAUAUUAAAUAAAAAAUAAAAUAUUAACCUAAAUAAUAAUAAUAAUAAUUAGUAGAAGUUUACCAAGAAAAAAAUAGUAGAAGAAGGACCAGUACGUGAAAUAUAAUAAUAAUAAUAAUAAUAAUAAUAAUAAUAUAAGAUUUAAAAAAUUAAUAUUUUUAAUAAAAAAUGAUAAAAGAGAACAAAAAUGGAAAAACAUAUGAAAAAUAAUAAUUAGUAGAAGUUUACCAAUAAAAAAAUAGUAGAAGAAGUAGCAAUACGUGGGAAAUAAUAAUAAUAAUAAUAAUAAUAAUAAUAAUAAUAAUAUAAGUUAAAAAUUAAUAUUUUUAAUAAAAUAUGAUAAAAGAGAAUAAAAAGGGAAAAAUAUGAAAAAAGUUAAAAUAAAUUGAUAUUAAUAUUUUAAUAUCGAUAACAUUAAUUUGAAAUAUUUUGUUUUAUUAAAUUUAUUUUUCUCUAUAAUAUAUUACAAUUCAAAUUAAUCUCUAAAUAAUAUUAACUCAUUAUAAUUAUUUUCUAAAUUCUAUAAAUAUUUUGUUUCUAGUAGAAAACUAUUUUCCCCACAUUUAAACAUUUUUAUCAAAUUUUUUAAAUCAAAAUGAUGGGUAUUUUAGAUGACUAUAUAUCUUCGACAUGUUAGUAUCAUUGAGGUUAUACUUGAUUAAUGGUAAGGAUAUUUUAAUAUAUUUUUACAAAUUUUCAAUAAAUUAACACUACAAAAUUUGAGAGUUUUCAUUACUUUUUUUAUAUUUUAUUUUAUUAUGCCACAUAAAUUAAGAUGGGAUGAGAUGAUAAUUAGAAUAUAUCCAAAAUACAUAUAUUUUUUUAGUUAAAGUAUACAAAUAAAAAUAAAUGCGAAUACAAAAUCAAACAAAAGUCAAAGAAAUCAAAGCUGACCCAAAGCAAAUAAAGUAAAGGAUCGGAUUAUGGUCCAAUAAUUUUAAAAAUACAAGAAAAAUAUAAAUUAGGAAAGUAAACAAAUAUUAUUUGUUUUUGUCUGAACUCCAGAAGGUUCCUUUGAAAUUCUAUCUUUCCGCAAACAUUUUCUUUCUAUUAUGAUACUACAUAUUAUUUUAGCAAAAAAUUGAUGAAUAAGCUGAAAUUAUGAAGCUCAAAAUUAAACUUUUAUAGACCAAAUACUGAAGAGUAUGUUCCUACUAUAUUCAUUGAAUAACGGUGUGUCAAGCUUCGCUUGUAAUUCCAUCUUCUUUCCCUGUUUUCUUUAUUUUUGUUUACGCUUUAACCUGUUUGAAGAUUUGAUUUUCUUAACCGUUUUUUGCUUUAUAUUUUGUAUGUUUUGAUCUCUUAAAAUCACUGUUGCAUUAUAUGUUCUUAGUUUUGAUUUUUUGUUCCUCCUUUUGAUUUGUAUGUUCGAAGAUUUCAUUUUUUUAAAUUCAUUCUGAUUUAAUUUCUUGUUUCAGGUGCGAUUUGCUUGAUAUUUACAUAUAAUAUGUGUCAGGUAUGCUUAAUGUUGCCAAUUUUGAAUAUCCUGAUGUUUGCAUGUCAGCUCAGAUACUUGAAUUUGAGAAGAUACCAGAGGCCUCUAUCCUUUCAUCCCUUGGAUGGACCACGUCAAAUAAUAGAAGAUAUAUAUUUUUGUUAAAAAAAUACACAUCCUCAGAACUAUAUGUAAAUAAAACAACGAAUAACAUUAGAUGAUUGACUUUUAAUGUUGUUGAAUGCGUAGGUGAACGUCCAAUCAAAACCUUAAUCUACAUGCAUAUUUAAUAGCUAUGAGACUCCAUCGUUCGCCCUUACCAAUUAUCUGUUCUAUUUUUAAUUUUUAAUUAAUAAAACAUUCCUCAGCGCCGUCUAAGAAGUCCUAACAUACCUUGAAUGCUGAACACAUACCACGAACCCUCAAGAUUUCACCCUUUUCUUUCCCAAAAUUUCAAAACAUUCUCAAUCUAUCAAAUAUAUUAUUCAUAAGUAAGAGAAUUCAAUUUAUAAUUGAAUUUCAACCAUGAUAUCAUUUCACAUGUCAAUUUCAUAUUUUGUAAAUUUCAAACUUAGGGCUUCGUCUCAAGUUACUCCAAAUCUCAUACAUUUAACAAUGUUCAUAGAGUACAAUAUAUCUAAUAUUUAAUUACACAUGCUAAAUAUUAAAACUUAAAUCGUAAUAUGAUAACUAUAAGAAAAUCUGAAAUCAGAAAAUGAUACAGUACCUAAAAUAAUAAGUCAAUGCUUGAUUAUAUCCCUAUUUACAAGUUUCAUAAUAUCAGUUUUAACUAAUCAUUAGCUCAUGAUUUUCCAUCAUAAUCCCUUCAAUCAUUGUCCAUCCUUAGCCAUCCAAAAACUGGCUAAGUUUUCCAUCCAAAAAAAGUGUGUUGCACUUCUGUCACUUCCACACAACCAUUACUUAGAGUUAUACAUUCAAAUCAAUAUAAGAAAUAAUUAUGUGUAUACAUUUUAGCAGUUAGUGUAUAUGAACAGAAAUUUGAGGUUUGAUUAGAUUCAUCUGAAACAACAAUUUUAAAUUUUUACAACUAUUUUCGUCCGUCUUCUCUUGCAUUCAGAUAAAUUUAGUAUAUAAAUUUUUACUUGAUAUAUUAAUUAUAUUAAAGUACAAUAAAGAAUAGACAAAUCAAACAUAUAUCUUUGUAAAAAGAAAGUACUUGUUUUAUAAUUAUAUGAAAAUACAACAAAGGAUAGCAUGUGUUUCCUACCCUUUUAAUAUUGAUGAAUGCACAGAUAGUCGUUCAAGAAAAAUCCAAACCUAGAAGUACACCUAAUAUCUGCAACGACAACAAUCUAACUACCCGGAGAACUUACCCUUACCCUACAAUUAGUAUUCUUAUCGGGUAAGAGAUUAUUUAAUAGAUUCUCAGCUUAAGAAAUAAUAAUAUUAAUAAUUAAAAAAAUUAAAGAAUAAAUUAACAAACUUACCGCAAAAUUUGUACUAACCUAAAAUAGUUGUCAUCACAAUAUUUUGCGGAGAAAUUUUGACUUUUUGAGAGUCGUCACUUAAUUUCUGAAAAGGAAUUAAGAAACCUUUAGAGAGUUACUUCAAACAAUUCAAAACAGGAAAACGUUUGAGUUUUGAAGAUUCUGAGUAAGCAGUUCCUAUUAACAUUUUAGGAAGGUGUUAGGCACCUAAAACGUCCGCUAACUUGCGGUUAUCCAAUUUGUUUGAAAAUCAUCUCUUUUGACAAACUUGAAAAUCGACUUGUGGGAAAAGUAAUUGAUUAAGGAAAUUUUUUUUUGCAAAAUCAGUUUUUUAGCGACUUAGUGAGGAGGUUAACUAUAUUCGAACACUAAGCAAAUAAAAUAACGAAAGAGAAAUAGAGGAAGAAAUAAAUGAUUUGGGCCUUCAUACCCAAAUCCGUCACCCUGUCUUAGUCUAGAUAUUGGGCUUUCGGCCCGUCUUUCACCUGUCCUAGUCUGUAUUUCGAGCCUUUGGCUUUAGUAUUGCUCCACCUGUAUUAAAUUUACAACUUUGACUUCGAGGCCCAAAUGAAUGAAUGAAUGAAUAAAUAAAUAAAUAAAUAAAUAAAUAAAUAAAUAAAUAAGUAAAUAAAUAAAUAAAAGACGAUAAUAAAUUUAUAAAAUGAAAUAAUAAAUGAGACUUUUAUCUCUUAACCACUUCAAAGAUGGAACUUUAACUCAUUCUUCUUCUUUUGACUCUUUACACUCAUAUGCCGCGGAAAACGCUUUAGACUUCUUUUGGGCUUUAACUCGAAAUUAAUCACUUAUUUCUGCAGCUCAUGAUUUCUUAAAGUCGAGUUUAAGGAAUGGUCUAAAACAAAAUUAGUGGCUUUGAUACCAUUUCAAAGAGUCUAAUCACAAAUCUUAAAUAAUUUGUGAAGUUAUCCCCGACCAUUAUAAGUCCCUUCAAAAUUCUUACUGUUCUGUCUCUGUUUUGCUUCAAGCAUUUAAUUUAUAAAAUUAACUAGCUUGAUUAAAUUAAUUACAUACAGUAGGAGGUUUAAUUUUAGAGCUCUCAAAUAUUGAAGAAGAUCCAAAUUUCUAAAAAUCAAAUUUGAGACCUCUAUCUAAUAAGGUAUUAGAAACCUUUAAUUAGCCAUAUGAGUCAUCAACCCUUUGGUAGCACUAGACUUCUUAUUGUGAGCUAAGUUCAAAGUAUAUUUGAUAUCAACACAAUAAUUUUAGAGAACUCUCAUGUUCUUUUUUCUCACAAUUAAAAUUAGGAUUAGAUUGUGGUAUAGAAUAAUCCGAUAUACUGUAACAAUCACUAUCAAUUAGUUAGUAAUACAGGUCAAAGAGGUAUCUUAGCAUUCGAGGACAUGAAGACGUGAGGGAACACCUGAGCUUGUGGAGCUGCCUAACCAAGGAACAAGCUUUGAAGUGUAGAGAACAAGUCCCAGCACUCCAAAGCUGUCCAAGAAGUCAAGCCCCUUUGUUUGGGCUCAUUAAGGACCUUUAGGUCAUUUAUGUAACAAGUGUUGCCCUAACUUAUAAAUAGAACAAUUGGAUCAUUUUGUCAUUUAGACUUUGAUGAUAUGUUUUGAGAGCACCAUAGAGUGUCUUGUAAAGUGGAAUCCUUGUGUUGGUAACUUGCUUAGAAACGUUGGUUGUUUGGGGAUUCCAGUUCCCUUGAGUUCACGUAAGAGAUAGGUUUAUGUUGUGUGUGGUAUUAAAGGUUCAAGAGUAGAAUAAGGUCUUAGGUUGUUAAUAUUACAUCUCCAUUUGUCUAUCUUUCUAUCUUUACUUUGUUCUAAUUGUUGGUCUUCUUGUUCUAGUAUUGUAACCCGUGACUUGUUGUCAUUGUUAUAUCCUUCUUGUUAUUCAUCUGGUCUUCAUAUUGUUGUUGUUAAUCUUACUUUGGGUUGGUUGUUUCGGUGUUAAAACACACCUUUUACUCGUCAUUAUUGUUGUUAUUGUUGAAUCCGAGUGUGGUCUCUAAACGGUCCUUGAAUUUUCGGAUUUGUGGACUGUUUUGAGUGUGUUUUCUUGUAUUCUUGAUAAUUCCGGGAUCGGUUAGUGAGUCUAGCUUCGGUUUGUACACGUGAGUUCUCAUUAUAUGAUUUAUUAUGUGUGAUCUAAUAAAAUUAGACUAAAUUACGUGUAUUCUUUCAAUUUACCAUAAGACUUCCUAAGAAGAUGUACAUUACAACACGCUCGGUAUAUACCAAUUGCUCCAAAUAGAUGUAUUUAGACCUUUAUUAUAACUAUUAAUAAUGGCAUAUGGUUAUAUAAAAUGCUUGCAUAUGCCCUCGUCUCUUGACAAUAUGGAAAAUGUUACUUAGUAUACAAUCCAAGGUAAAAUAAAUAAUGAGAAGUUAAUAAGGGGUGAAAGUGAAACAAACACAUUUAUUCAUCCAGUGAUGAAAUUCAUAGAUUAAUUAGAUUUUAUGAAACGAAAUUCCUAACACACAUCUCCUCAAUUCACCAUUUUUAAAUAAAUGGUUCCAUAUAUAUUAUUGAAUUAACUAAGAAGAUCAGGCCUGGUUCUUUCAACAGCCAAACAAGUGCUAAGCAAUUUCUUACUACCCUGAUAGAAAGUUGCAAAUUCAGCUGGCAUUGGUGUUUUCUUGAAUUCACCUUUACAAUCAUCCAAUCUUGUCAUUGCUGCUGAUAUUUUGAUGUUUGCACUUUUAGUUUUGUCACCUGUUUUCAACAACUCUUCUACCUCUUUCAAUGUCUCGAGAGCAUCAUUAUAUGAUUCUUUGCACCCUUUCCCAAUCUUAUUUUUUAAUUUUUGAUCUGUUGUUGGUGGCAAUUUUGCUAGCAUAUUUGCCAUAAUUGGCUCUGCCAAUUUAAUUUGCAUAAUUGUCUCUGACAACACACCAGUAAUUGCCUCUUGCCAUGUGUUAGCUGCCUUGACAACUUCAUUGCAAAAGGGCUUGUCUAAGGCUUUCACACAAAAUGGGCUUUCUUUGUAUGCUGGGGCUUCUUGUGCACUUGAUUGACAUGCAAAUAAAACACAAGUUAAAGCCAGAGAGACCAAUGACAAAGUAACCCCAUUUCUAUAAGACAUUUUCUAUUUUUUAUAUUGAUUUUUUUUUUUGCAAUUGUGAUUAUGUUUUUUUUUUUUUGUCACUUUUCUAAGAUGGUCUUCUCUGGGUUAAAUUUGAAAUGAAGAG
This 8450-nucleotide long non-coding RNA is filed under the name Capsicum annuum. RNAcentral describes it as "long non-coding RNA (CANN_LNC003238)". Lineage: Eukaryota; Viridiplantae; Streptophyta; Magnoliopsida; Solanales; Solanaceae. The record is from RNAcentral.